CGUUAAUGUUGUUAUUUGGACUUUGACGUUCUAUUUUUAUCGUUUUAAAUAAGUCUGCAGUAAAGGAGCCUACUUAAAUUUGGAAUUGCUGUUUCAUACUGAUGUCGGAAAACAGAAAGAAUACAACACUUAAAGAUGAGAAGAAAACUUCCGCAGGUACAGAUUCUGAAGGUUUU
Molecule: long non-coding RNA, 176 nt
Organism: Mytilus trossulus (common blue mussel)
Lineage: Eukaryota; Metazoa; Mollusca; Bivalvia; Mytilida; Mytilidae
Exons: 3
Source: RefSeq, a predicted model, not a curated record